Molecule: ribosomal RNA, 460 nt
Filed under: uncultured bacterium
Lineage: Bacteria
Description: partial 16S ribosomal RNA
Rfam family: Bacterial small subunit ribosomal RNA
Source: RNAcentral
CCUACGGGAGGCAGCAGUCAGGAAUAUUGGUCAAUGGGCGCGAGCCUGAACCAGCCAAGUAGCGUGAAGGAUGACUGCCCUACGGGUUGUAAACUUCUUUUAUAAAGGAAUAAAGUGAGGCACGUGUGCCUUUUUGUAUGUACUUUAUGAAUAAGGAUCGGCUAACUCCGUGCCAUCAGCCGCGGUAAUACGGAGGAUCCGAGCGUUAUCCGGAUUUAUUGGGUUUAAAGGGAGCGUAGAUGGGUUGUUAAGUCAGUUGUGAAAGUUUGCGGCUCAACCGUAAAAUUGCAAUUGAUACUGGCAGUCUUGAGUACAGUUGAGGUAGGCGGAAUUCGUGGUGUAGCGGUGAAAUGCUUAGAUAUCACGAAGAACUCCGAUUGCGAAGGCAGCUUACUAAACUGCCACUGACAUUGAUGCUCGAAAGUGUGGGUAUCAAACAGGAUUAGAUACCCCAGUAGUC